RNAcentral lists this ribosomal RNA (279 nucleotides) under uncultured bacterium. RNAcentral's name for it is "partial 16S ribosomal RNA". It matches the Rfam family "Bacterial small subunit ribosomal RNA", at positions 506 to 784 of the family's 1533-position model. The record is from RNAcentral.
UGCCAGCCGCCGCGGUAAUACGGAGGGUGCAAGCGUUGUUCGGAAUUACUGGGCGUAAAGCGCGCGUAGGUGGUUGUGUAAGUCAGAUGUGAAAGUCCACGGCUUAACCGUGGAAGUGCAUUUGAAACUGUAUAACUUGAGUACUGGAGGGGGUAGUGGAAUUCCCGGUGUAGAGGUGAAAUUCGUAGGUAUCGGGAGGAAUACCGGUGGCGAAGGCGACUACCUGGCCAGAUACUGACGCUGAAAUGCGAAAGUGUGGGGAGCAAACAGGAUUAGAUA